CGCGUAGACGGCAUGUUAAGUUUGCUGUUAAAUACUCCGGCUUAACUGGAGAUAUGCUGCAAAAACUGGCAAGCUAGAGGGUGGAAGAGAGAAGUGGAAUUCUCGGAGUAGCGGUAAAAUGCGUAGAUCUCGAGAGGAACACCGAUGGCGAAGGCAGCUUCUUGGUCCACUCCUGACGUUGAGGCGCGAAAGCGUGGGAGCAAACA
This 206-nucleotide ribosomal RNA is filed under the name uncultured bacterium. RNAcentral describes it as "partial 16S ribosomal RNA". It matches the Rfam family "Bacterial small subunit ribosomal RNA", at positions 568 to 774 of the family's 1533-position model. The record is from RNAcentral.